RNAcentral lists this ribosomal RNA (315 nucleotides) under uncultured fungus. RNAcentral's name for it is "SSU rRNA". It matches the Rfam family "Eukaryotic small subunit ribosomal RNA", at positions 1344 to 1680 of the family's 1831-position model. Lineage: Eukaryota; Fungi. The record is from RNAcentral.
UAACCUGCUAAAUAGUUAGGCCAACGAUUGUUGGUCGUCAACUUCUUAGAGGGACUAUUGACUAUUAGUCAAUGGAAGUUUGAGGCAAUAACAGGUCUGUGAUGCCCUUAGAUGUUCUGGGCCGCACGCGCGCUACACUGAUCAAGUCAGCGAGUUUACAACCUUGGCCGGAAGGUCUGGGUAAUCUUUUGAAACUUGAUCGUGCUGGGGAUAGUCCAUUGCAAUUAUUGGACUUCAACGAGGAAUUCCUAGUAAGCGUGAGUCAUCAGCUCGCGUUGAUUACGUCCCUGCCCUUUGUACACACCGCCCGUCGCU